GUUUAGAGCAGGGGCCGCGGCGGAGGAACACACCCCCCGGUGCCUCACCCCUCCUCAAACUUGCUGACAUUUGAACUCCAUUGGUGCGCGCCGUAUCGCUGCGCCGCGGUGAUUCGUCUCCUCGACGUCAAAUAGUGCCCUGGCCCCGCCGGGCCCCCGCGGCCCCCGAAGCGCAGCGGCGCCCGGGGCGCGGGGCUGGCGGGCUCCGCGCACCCCGGCGCAGCGAGCGGCAAACGGGGCUGGGACCGGCACCGGAGCGGGCCGGGUGGCAGAGCGAGCGCGGCCGCCGAGGAUCGCGGCGGAGCGGGGACCCGGCCGCUCCGCUUCCCGCCCCGCUACCGGCCCGACGGCGGCUCCUGGCUCCUGCCCUGUCGGGCUGCACUCUGCACCUUCCCCGCCUGCCAACGGCCUACUGCGAAACACCGCUGCCUGGGAGCCCGCCGUAGCGGGCAGCGCUCGGAGAACGCAGGGACACCAGGCCAACCGCACGGUGAACAGAGCCUGAGCUCGUGGCCGGUGCACGGGAUGGAGACCUCCGAGUUUCCCCCAUACCGGGCGCUGCUAACGGCUCUGCAGCCCGCGGUCUUCGACCGAGCCCCCGGGGGCUCCCCGCCGACGGCCCCGGGCCCCGGGCCCCAGAGCCGUCACCGCCGGGAAAAGCGGCCGGCGGCUGUGCUCGGCUGUGACUGAUUCAGCUGCUCUCCCUCCUUCGGAAGGACAAAUGUAAGCGAGCUGCAAAGUGUAGUUACUAAUAACAAUAACAAUAAAUUAUCGGGCUCUUGCUCAGUAGCGCAAACAAA
Long non-coding RNA from Pezoporus occidentalis (night parrot), 800 nucleotides. RefSeq lists it as uncharacterized. The record is from RefSeq and is a predicted model, not a curated record. Lineage: Eukaryota; Metazoa; Chordata; Aves; Psittaciformes; Psittacidae. The transcript is spliced from 2 exons.